GUCUACAGCCAUGACACUCUGAACAAUCCCAUUGUCUGAUCUUGGAAGCUAAGCAGGGUCAGGCCUGGUUAGUACUUGGAUGGGAGACCACCUAGGAAGUCCAGAUGCUAUAAUCC
RNAcentral lists this ribosomal RNA (116 nucleotides) under Pteropus alecto (black flying fox). Lineage: Eukaryota; Metazoa; Chordata; Mammalia; Chiroptera; Pteropodidae. The record is from RNAcentral.